Molecule: ribosomal RNA, 487 nt
Filed under: uncultured bacterium
Lineage: Bacteria
Description: partial 16S ribosomal RNA
Rfam family: Bacterial small subunit ribosomal RNA
Source: RNAcentral
GAUGAACGCUAGCGAUAGGCCUAACACAUGCAAGUCGAGGGGCAGCACAAGGUAGCUUGCUAUCUGGGUGGCGACCGGCGCACGGGUGCGUAACGCGUAUGCAACUUGCCCUAUACAGGAGGAUAACCCUCGAAAAGCCGGCCUAAUCUUCGGAUGCCUACCACCUGGCCAUCAGGUGUUGGGGAAGGAAUUCCGUAUUAGGAUAGGCAUGCGUCCCAUUAGCUUGUUGGUGAGGUAACGGCUCACCAAGGCAACGAUGGUUAGGGGAACUGAGAGGUUUAUCCCCCACACUGGUACUGAGACACGGACCAGACUCCUACGGGAGGCAGCAGUGAGGAAUAUUGGUCAAUGGGCGCGAGCCUGAACCAGCCAAGUCGCGUGAAGGAUGACUGUCUUAUGGAUUGUAAACUUCUUUUAGACGGGAAUAACAAGAGUCACGUGUGACUCCCUGCAUGUACCGUAUGAAUAAGCAUCGGCUAACUCCGUG